GUCUAUGGCUAUACCACUCUCAACGCACCCAACUUGUCUGAUCUCAGAAGCGAAUCAGGUUCGGGCCUGGUUAGUACUUGGAUGGGAGAAAAUAAAAACUGGCGGAGGUUGGGAAGACUGGCACAAUGGCUC
Molecule: ribosomal RNA, 132 nt
Organism: Ochotona princeps (American pika)
Lineage: Eukaryota; Metazoa; Chordata; Mammalia; Lagomorpha; Ochotonidae
Source: Ensembl